ACCAGGGAUCCAGAAAGCUAUAUCACCCCUGAUAACAAUGUUUAAUAGGCACCAGUGCACUACAGAACACCCUGCCCCAGCUGGAGUUUCUCAAACUGUGAAAAUCACUACAGAGGAAAGGAUCAUCAUUCUACGUAUGUUGGCUCACCACUGAUGCUCAUCCAAAGUUAAGAUGUGGACACAGAGUAACUGUAUAGAAGAGGAGAGAGCCUAGAGAACAUAGGGGUCGAUGUAUAAGGGAGAACAUUUCAGAGUCAGGAAUUGCCUGUUCACCCAGCACUGAGAUUUCCACAGAGCAAGAAUGAACAUUUUCGAGUGCCUCUUCAGAGCCUUUCCAAGAAGCCUAUCUCAUACCCCAGUAAUGUGGACUUUAAAAAGACAAAGUAGGAACUGUCAAAAUGGCUCAGUUGGUACAGUUGCUUGCCACCAAGCCUGAGGGCAUGGCUUCUUUGCCUUGGACCCAAAUGGCACAGGAGAACAAUUGACUUUCAAGGGUUGUCUUUUGACCUCCCCACAUGUCAUGGUAUAUGCACAGAUAGCCUCCUCGCACACAGUAAAUAAAUGUAAUUUAAGGAAAGAUAAAGGAGGAAUGGAACAUACUGCAUGUCGAGGAAUUAGAACAUUCAUGGCAGUUGUUUGUGUGUUGCCAUCUGCCUUGUAUCCUAAUGCAGUGAAUCAGCAUGCAGAGAGAAAUAAAGCACAGAAUGAUUGCCUCGUGAGAUACAAAAGCUACACUACUGAGAAACCCUUCAAGGCCACCUGCCAACCUUCUUCAAUGGGAUCCAAAGCAAAAUGCUUGAAAUGAGGGUGGAAAGUUCCAAUUAUUUUUAUAGAUGAAGACUGCAAGAUCAAGGAAGAGGCUACAAGAGAAGAUACAUGUCAUUUGGCCGUGAUGAAAUACCUGAAAGAGGAUGUCUGGGUGACAAAGGCUUCAUUCUGGCUCCAAGAACCACAUACCACCAUGGAUUAUGACAGAGAAGCCUUGGUAGCGGGACCAGGAGUAUAGCAGGUUCAUGCUGCAUCCACAGUCAAGAAGCAGAAAGUGAACAGAACAUGGAGCUGGCUCAUUAAGCCUCGUCCCACUCCACCCCUGCCAUAUAGCCCAUCACCUUUCCCAAACAUUACCAGCAGCUAAGGACAAGUGUACAGACACAGGAGCCUAUUGGUUUGGGGGGGGGGCACUAGAUAUUCAAACCAUAACAACCAAAGAAGAAGGUCAUUCCCACAGUCUCUUCCAUUAUACUUAUCAUAAUAAUGAUCAUUAUACAGAUCAAGGAAUUAAUAAUAUUUGUAUAUUUACAAGACG
Long non-coding RNA from Mastomys coucha (southern multimammate mouse), 1306 nucleotides. RefSeq lists it as uncharacterized. The record is from RefSeq and is a predicted model, not a curated record. Lineage: Eukaryota; Metazoa; Chordata; Mammalia; Rodentia; Muridae. The transcript is spliced from 2 exons.